GACGAACGCUGGCGGCGUGCUUAACACAUGCAAGUCGAACGAUGAACCCGGAGCUUGCUCCGGUGGAUUAGUGGCGAACGGGUGAGUAACACGUGAGUAACCUGCCCUUGACUCUGGGAUAACUGCGGGAAACUGUAGCUAAUACCGGAUACGACCCUCGGCGGCAUCGCCAGGGGGUGGAAAGAAUUUCGGUCAAGGAUGGACUCGCGGUCCUAUCAGCGAGUUGGGGAGGGAACGGCUCACCAAGGCGACGACGGGUAGCCGGCCUGAGCGGGUGACCGGCCACACUGGGACUGACACACGGCCCAGACUCAUACGGGAGGAAGCAGUGGGGAAUAUUGCACAAUGGGCGCAAGCCGGAUGCAGCAACGCCGCGUGAGGGAUGACGGCCUUCGGGUUGUAAACCUCUUUUAGUAGGGAAGAAGCGAAAGUGACGGUACCUGCAGAAAAAGCACCGGCUAACUACGUGCCAGCAGCCGCCGUAA
RNAcentral lists this ribosomal RNA (485 nucleotides) under uncultured bacterium. RNAcentral describes it as "partial 16S ribosomal RNA". It matches the Rfam family "Bacterial small subunit ribosomal RNA", at positions 28 to 523 of the family's 1533-position model. The record is from RNAcentral.